This 255-nucleotide ribosomal RNA is filed under the name uncultured microorganism. RNAcentral's name for it is "partial small subunit ribosomal RNA". It matches the Rfam family "Bacterial small subunit ribosomal RNA", at positions 524 to 777 of the family's 1533-position model. The record is from RNAcentral.
UACGGAGGAUCCAAGCGUUAUCCGGAUUUAUUGGGUUUAAAGGGUGCGUAGGCGGCCUUGUUAAGUCAGGGGUGAAAGACGGUAGCUCAACUAUCGCAGUGCCCUUGAUACUGAUGGGCUUGAAUGGACUAGAGGUAGGCGGAAUGUGACAAGUAGCGGUGAAAUGCAUAGAUAUGUCACAGAACACCGAUUGCGAAGGCAGCUUACUAUGGUCCUAUUGACGCUGAGGCACGGAAGCGUGGGGAUCGAACAGGA